RNAcentral lists this ribosomal RNA (253 nucleotides) under uncultured bacterium. RNAcentral describes it as "partial 16S ribosomal RNA". It matches the Rfam family "Bacterial small subunit ribosomal RNA", at positions 524 to 776 of the family's 1533-position model. The record is from RNAcentral.
UACGUAGGGUGCGAGCGUUAAUCGGAAUUACUGGGCGUAAAGCGUGCGCAGGCGGUUUUGUAAGCCAGAUGUGAAAUCCCCGGGCUUAACCUGGGAAUGGCAUUUGGGACUGCAAGGCUUGAGUGCGGCAGAGGAGACUGGAAUUCCUGGUGUAGCAGUGAAAUGCGUAGAUAUCAAGCGGAACACCAGUGGCGAAGGCGAGUCCCUGGACAACUCCUGACACUGAGGCACGAAAGCUAGGGGAGCAAACAGG